This is a small nucleolar RNA of Danio aesculapii, 97 nucleotides long. RefSeq annotates it as small nucleolar RNA U13. NCBI's taxonomy places the organism in Eukaryota, Metazoa, Chordata, Actinopteri, Cypriniformes, Danionidae. The transcript has a single exon. The record is from RefSeq and is a predicted model, not a curated record.
AUCCUUUUGGUUCAACCAACAUGAUGAUUGGUCUUUCACGAACGCUUCGUGAAAUGUGCAGCCUAUUGUUACGACGUGGCACAUCGACCGUCUGAAU